RNAcentral lists this unclassified non-coding RNA (1779 nucleotides) under Megachile rotundata (alfalfa leafcutting bee). Its description in RNAcentral is "aminoacylase-1, transcript variant X5". Lineage: Eukaryota; Metazoa; Arthropoda; Insecta; Hymenoptera; Megachilidae. The record is from RNAcentral.
GAUAAUCAGCGGCAAUUGGCCGAGACUGAGACAAGCGGUAGCGUCUGCUAUGACAGUCGACUCGGCGGCGUCCGACGCGGUGAUCAGCAGGCUACGUAAUGUCUUCGUUGUCCCAGGCUCAGCUGGACGCAACAGCUGUAGAGAAUUUUCGCGAGUACUUGCGAAUACCAUCGGUUCAACCCAAUAUCAAUUACGAUGAUUGUGUUGCAUUUUUACAAAAACAAGCAGAAUCUCUCGAUUUACCUGUCAAAGUAUAUCAUGUUCAUCCAAAUAAACCAAUUGUGGUUCUCACAUGGAUAGGUUUGCAACCAUCAGAACCAGCUAUUCUUUUAAAUAGCCACAUGGAUGUUGUACCUGUUUUCGAAGACAAAUGGACCUAUCCACCCUUUAGUGCUCAUAUGGAUGAGCAAGGAAACAUAUAUGCUCGUGGCAGUCAAGAUAUGAAAUGUGUUGGAAUACAAUAUUUAGAAGCGAUUCGUCGUAUGAAAUUAGCUGGACAACGUUUUAAAAGAACAAUUCAUAUUUCUUUUGUACCGGAUGAAGAAAUUGGAGGAGUUCUUGGCAUGGAGGAUUUUGUUCAUACCAAAGAUUUUCAAGCUUUAAAUGUUGGUUUUGCAUUAGAUGAGGGUGUAGCUUGCCCUGAAGAACAAUUUUAUUUAUUCUAUGGCGAGAGAUCUAUUUGGCACGUAGUAGUGGAAUGUGCAGGAACUCCUGGCCAUGGCUCACUUUUAUUGGAUAAUACAGCUGGAGAAAAAAUACGAGUUAUAAUCGAUCGUUUUAUGGACUUUAGAGCCAAAGAGAAGGAAAAGUUGAAAAAUCCAAAGCUUCAGCUUGGUGAUGUAACAACUAUCAACCUAACACAAUUACGGGGUGGUGUGCAAACAAAUGUGGUACCCACAUCGUUAACAGCAAUUUUCGAUUGCCGACUUGAUCCUUCGAUAGAUCAUAAUGAAUUCGAAGCUAUGAUUAAGAGUUGGUGCCAGGAAGCUGGUCCUGACGUUACAUAUUCAUUCCAACAAAAGAAUCCUAAGAUAGAGAAUACAAAAUUAGACGAUUCUAAUCCUUAUUGGAUCGCUUUUAAAAAAGUAUGCGAUGAUAUUGGAAUAAAUUUGCAAAUAGGAAUCUUUCCGGGUGGAACAGAUAGCCGAUACGUGCGAUACGUUGGCAUUCCUGCUAUUGGUUUUUCACCAAUGAAUAAAACGAAAAUACUUCUUCAUGAUCAUGAUGAAUAUUUGAACAAAGAUAUAUUUCUAAAGGGUAUUGAAAUAUAUAUGAAACUAAUACCUGCAGUGGCAAAUGUCUAAAUGGAUAAUCAAACAGUUGAACAUAAUUUAAAAAGCUUUUUAAGAAACCAAAGCAUUAAGGGCUGAAUUGACGAAACAAAGUGCAAUAAUAUAUAGAAUUAUAACUGUUCAAGAAAAGUACAAACAUACAGCAUAGAGCAGAAAUAAUUACUUCGAUGAAAAAAUGCUACCAGAAGUACCAAGUUUAUCGCAAGUAAGAUUUGAAUAAGUUAAUUAACAGUGAGAUAUAUUUGCAAAAUAUAUUGCCAGUGUUUUGAGAAAAAUAGAAAAUUUCGUCGAACGGACCAACUGAAAACGCAUUUAAAUAAGGUAUUGAAAAAUGUAUUUAAUAAUACUCAUUACAGAUUUAAAAAACGUGAAGUAUAUAAAAUGCACGAUCAGUAAUCGGAUAAGCAAAGAAAAGAAUACUCCUUUUUCAAGUACAAAUCGAUUUAUCGUAAUUGUAAGAGCUCAAAUCCCGUAUCAAAUCGUAGAU